This 253-nucleotide ribosomal RNA is filed under the name uncultured Oscillospiraceae bacterium. RNAcentral describes it as "partial 16S ribosomal RNA". It matches the Rfam family "Bacterial small subunit ribosomal RNA", at positions 524 to 776 of the family's 1533-position model. Lineage: Bacteria; Bacillati; Bacillota; Clostridia; Eubacteriales; Oscillospiraceae. The record is from RNAcentral.
UACGUAGGGGGCAAGCGUUGUCCGGAUUUACUGGGUGUAAAGGGCGUGUAGCCGGGCUGACAAGUCAGAUGUGAAAUUCCGGGGCUCAACCCCGGACCUGCAUUUGAAACUGUUGGUCUUGAGUAUCGGAGAGGUCAUCGGAAUUCCUAGUGUAGCGGUGAAAUGCGUAGAUAUUAGGAAGAACACCAGUGGCGAAGGCGGAUGACUGGACGACAACUGACGGUGAGGCGCGAAAGCGUGGGGAGCAAACAGG